Molecule: ribosomal RNA, 475 nt
Filed under: uncultured Peptostreptococcus sp.
Lineage: Bacteria; Bacillati; Bacillota; Clostridia; Peptostreptococcales; Peptostreptococcaceae
Description: bacterial SSU rRNA
Rfam family: Bacterial small subunit ribosomal RNA
Source: RNAcentral
GACGAACGCUGGCGGCGUGCUUAACACAUGCAAGUCGAACGUGAUUUUUGUGGAAAUUCUUACGGGAAUGGAAGCGAAAUGAAAGUGGCGAACGGGUGAGUAACACGUGAGCAACCUACCUUACACAGGGGGAUAGCCGUUGGAAACGACGAUUAAUACCGCAUGAGACCACAGAACCGCAUGGUAUAGGGGUCAAAGAUUUAUCGGUGUAAGAUGGGCUCGCGUUUGAUUAGCUAGUUGGAAGGGUAAAGGCCUACCAAGGCGACGAUCAGUAGUCGGUCUGAGAGGAUGAACGGCCACAUUGGAACUGAGACACGGUCCAAACUCCUACGGGAGGCAGCAGUGGGGAAUAUUGCACAAUGGGGGGAACCCUGAUGCAGCGACGCCGCGUGAGCGAAGAAGGUUUUCGAAUCGUAAAGCUCUGUCCUAUGAGAAGAUAAUGACGGUAUCAUAGGAGGAAGCCCCGGCUAAAUAC